GGAUGUGGUUCAUUUCUUUGCUGUGAGUGUAGCUGUGAAACCUGCUACACUGGAUCUGCUUUACUUUAGGUCAGGUUCAUGUAAUGUUAUUUAUUUAUACCUUGUCACAUGUUAAAACAAAUGUAGGUUGUUGUUGCCCAAGGUGCUAAUUAGAAGAGGCGUAAAGGAAUCUUGUACUAAGUGAUUUUCUGCCAAUAGUAAACUUGAGACUAAAGAAAGUAUCAACAUAUAACAUGCAUUAAAAGAAACCUUUUGACCUUCAGUAUUUGUCAAAUGUAAAUGAAAGCAGAGCACUAUAAACCAGAUUAUUUAUAAAUCGUCAUCAUGUUGCUUAGCAAUCUGCCUGCUAAACUGACCAAUUUUCUGGACAAUUUUAUUUCUGUAUGUCUUAUAUAUUAUGACAUCAUCGUGUUGCCUAGCAAUAAACUGGAAUCACAGGCCAAACAAUACUGUAGCAUGGGCAUGUACUGGUCACCACCAUAGGCAAUUUUUAGUUCAGUUCUUGCUUUGUGUGACUGUAAAGCACAUUCAGUUUCAUUUUUAUGCAUUUGUUCACUAUAACUAUUGUUGGUAUGCUGAAAAACUUGUUGAAGAUGUGCGCACGAAAUAUUCUUGGGUAAGUACAAAAGAACCUGCAAAACAAGUCAGAGCCACGCCAUCAGCCGAUAAAUGGUAAAAUAAUCCACCACCACUACCUGAAAGUCAGUCAAGCGGUGUCAGCUGAGGUUGCCUUGUCCUGUCUGAUCUCUUCAAGUAAAGCCGUGAAUAAAUCUCAAAAGAGGAAAGCAUCAAGAUGGCGAGCGGUGAAGACACAGCUGCCCCUCCAUUUAAUGGCAAUGCUGACCAGACUGAGGAAGACUCAAGCCAAGACGAAACAGAGGAACAAACUGUAGAAGCUUUACAAGAACAGCUUUGUGAAAAAGAUAGAGAGAUCCAGGUGUUGAGAGAGAUCCUCGCAAUGUCACAC
Long non-coding RNA from Haplochromis burtoni (Burton's mouthbrooder), 967 nucleotides. RefSeq lists it as uncharacterized. The record is from RefSeq and is a predicted model, not a curated record. The transcript is spliced from 3 exons. Lineage: Eukaryota; Metazoa; Chordata; Actinopteri; Cichliformes; Cichlidae.